RNAcentral lists this ribosomal RNA (607 nucleotides) under Trichoderma sp. HR0189. RNAcentral describes it as "eukaryotic LSU rRNA". The stretch from base 217 to 370 matches the Rfam family "5.8S ribosomal RNA". The record is from RNAcentral. Lineage: Eukaryota; Fungi; Ascomycota; Sordariomycetes; Hypocreales; Hypocreaceae.
AUUUCUGUAGGUGAACCUGCGGAGGGAUCAUUACCGAGUUUACAACUCCCAAACCCAAUGUGAACGUUACCAAACUGUUGCCUCGGCGGGGUCACGCCCCGGGUGCGUCGCAGCCCCGGAACCAGGCGCCCGCCGGAGGAACCAACCAAACUCUUUCUGUAGUCCCCUCGCGGACGUAUUUCUUACAGCUCUGAGCAAAAAUUCAAAAUGAAUCAAAACUUUCAACAACGGAUCUCUUGGUUCUGGCAUCGAUGAAGAACGCAGCGAAAUGCGAUAAGUAAUGUGAAUUGCAGAAUUCAGUGAAUCAUCGAAUCUUUGAACGCACAUUGCGCCCGCCAGUAUUCUGGCGGGCAUGCCUGUCCGAGCGUCAUUUCAACCCUCGAACCCCUCCGGGGGAUCGGCGUUGGGGAUCGGGACCCCUCACACGGGUGCCGGCCCCGAAAUACAGUGGCGGUCUCGCCGCAGCCUCUCCUGCGCAGUAGUUUGCACAACUCGCACCGGGAGCGCGGCGCGUCCACGUCCGUAAAACACCCAACUUUCUGAAAUGUUGACCUCGGAUCAGGUAGGAAUACCCGCUGAACUUAAGCAUAUCAAUAAGGCGGAGGAA